Molecule: ribosomal RNA, 437 nt
Filed under: uncultured Oscillospiraceae bacterium
Lineage: Bacteria; Bacillati; Bacillota; Clostridia; Eubacteriales; Oscillospiraceae
Description: partial 16S ribosomal RNA
Rfam family: Bacterial small subunit ribosomal RNA
Source: RNAcentral
ACGGGAGGCAGCAGUGGGGAAUAUUGGGCAAUGGGCGAAAGCCUGACCCAGCAACGCCGCGUGAAGGAAGAAGGUUUUCGGAUUGUAAACUUCUUUUAUCAGGGACGAAGGAAGUGACGGUACCUGAUGAAUAAGCCACGGCUAACUACGUGCCAGCAGCCGCGGUAAUACGUAGGUGGCAAGCGUUAUCCGGAUUUACGGGGUGUAAGGGGCGCGUAGGCGGGGAUGCAAGUCAGAUGUGAAGUCCAUGGGCUUAACCCGUGAACUGCAUUUGAAACUGGUUCUCUUGAGUGUCGGAGAGGUAGACGGAAUUCCUAGUGUAGCGGUGAAAUGCGUAGAUAUUAGGAGGAACACCAGUGGCGAAGGCGGUCUACUGGACGAUAACUGACGCUGAGGCGCGAAAGCGUGGGGAGCAAACAGGAUUAGAUACCCUGGUA